Molecule: ribosomal RNA, 403 nt
Filed under: uncultured bacterium
Lineage: Bacteria
Description: partial 16S ribosomal RNA
Rfam family: Bacterial small subunit ribosomal RNA
Source: RNAcentral
AUUGAACGCUGGCGGCAGGCCUAACACAUGCACGUCGAGCGAGCGGCGGACGGGUGAGUAAUGUAUGGGGGCUGCCCCACAGAGGGGGAGAACUACUGGAAACGGUAGCUAUUAUCGCAUACGUUCGCAGAACCCCUAGCGGAUUAACUAGUAGGUGAGGUAAUGGCUCACAUAGGCGACGCUGCCUAGCUGGUCUGUGAGGAUGAUCAUCCACACUGGGACUGCGACACGGCCCAGACUCCUACGGAGGCAGCAGUGGGGAUUAUGGCACAAUGGGCGCAAGCCUGAUGCAGCCAGGCCGCGUGUAUGAAGAAGGCCCUAGGGUUGUAAAGUACUUUCAGUCGGGAGGCGUUACCGACAGAAGAAGCACCGGCUAACUCCGUGCCAGCAGCCGCGGUAAUAC